Molecule: ribosomal RNA, 504 nt
Filed under: Pseudoxanthomonas sangjuensis
Lineage: Bacteria; Pseudomonadati; Pseudomonadota; Gammaproteobacteria; Lysobacterales; Lysobacteraceae
Description: bacterial SSU rRNA
Rfam family: Bacterial small subunit ribosomal RNA
Source: RNAcentral
GGGUUGUAAAGCCCUUUUGUUGGGAAAGAAAUCCUGUCGGUUAAUACCCGGCGGGGAUGACGGUACCCAAAGAAUAAGCACCGGCUAACUUCGUGCCAGCAGCCGCGGUAAUACGAAGGGUGCAAGCGUUACUCGGAAUUACUGGGCGUAAAGCGUGUGUAGGUGGUUGCUUAAGUCUGCUGUGAAAGCCCUGGGCUCAACCUGGGAAUUGCAGUGGAUACUGGGCGACUAGAGUGCGGUAGAGGGUAGCGGAAUUUCCGGUGUAGCAGUGAAAUGCGUAAGAUCGGAAGGAACAUCUGUGGCGAAGGCGGCUACCUGGGCCAACACUGACACUGAGACACGAAAGCGUGGGGAGCAAACAGGAUUAGAUACCCUGGUAGUCCACGCCCUAAACGAUGCGAACUGGAUGUUGGGUUCAACUUGGAACCCAGUAUCGAAGCUAACGCGUUAAGUUCGCCGCCUGGGGAGUACGGUCGCAAGACUGAAACUAAAAGGAAUUGACGG